This 863-nucleotide ribosomal RNA is filed under the name uncultured bacterium. RNAcentral describes it as "bacterial SSU rRNA". It matches the Rfam family "Bacterial small subunit ribosomal RNA", at positions 588 to 1451 of the family's 1533-position model. The record is from RNAcentral.
UNUGAAGUUAAAGGCUGUGGCUUAACCAUAGUACGCUUUGGAAACUGUUUAACUUGAGUGCAGAAGGGGAGAGUGGAAUUCCAUGUGUAGCGGUGAAAUGCGUAGAUAUAUGGAGGAACACCGGUGGCGAAAGCGGCUCUNUGGUCUGUAACUGACGCUGAGGCUCGAAAGCGUGGGGAGCGAACAGGAUUAGAUACCCUGGUAGUNCACGCCGUAAACGAUGAGUGCUAGGUGUUAGGCCCUUUCCGGGGCUUAGUGCCGCAGCUAACGCAUUAAGCACUCCGCCUGGGGAGUACGACCGCAAGGUUGAAACUCAAAGGAAUUGACGGGGGCCCGCACAAGCGGUGGAGCAUGUGGUUUAAUUUGAAGCAACGCGAAGAACCUUACCAGGUCUUGACAUCCCGAUGCCCGCUCUAGAGAUAGAGUUUUACUUCGGUACAUCGGUGACAGGUGGUGCAUGGUUGUCGUCAGCUCGUGUCGUGAGAUGUUGGGUUAAGUCCCGCAACGAGCGCAACCCUUAUUGUUAGUUGCCAUCAUUCAGUUGGGCACUCUAGCGAGACUGCCGGUAAUAAACCGGAGGAAGGUGGGGAUGACGUCAAAUCAUCAUGCCCCUUAUGACCUGGGCUACACACGUGCUACAAUGGCUGGUACAACGAGUCGCAAGUCGGUGACGGCAAGCUAAUCUCUUAAAGCCAGUCUCAGUUCGGAUUGUAGGCUGCAACUCGCCUACAUGAAGUCGGAAUCGCUAGUAAUCGCGGAUCAGCACGCCGCGGUGAAUACGUUCCCGGGCCUUGUACACACCGCCCGUCACACCACGAGAGUUUGUAACACCCGAAGUCGGUGAGGUANCCUUUUAGGAGCCA